Molecule: ribosomal RNA, 317 nt
Filed under: uncultured soil bacterium
Lineage: Bacteria
Description: bacterial SSU rRNA
Rfam family: Bacterial small subunit ribosomal RNA
Source: RNAcentral
AAGUCCCGUAACGAGCGCAACCCCUACUUCCAGUUGCCAACACGUAAUGGUGGGGACUCUGGAGGAACUGCCCGCGCAAGCGGUGAGGAAGGUGGGGACGACGUCAAGUCAUCACGGCCCUUACGUCCUGGGCUACACACGUGCUACAAUGGCAAUUACAGAGGGCAGCUACCUGGCAACAGGAUGCUAAUCCAUGAAAAAUUGUCUCAGUUCGGAUUGGGGUCUGCAACUCGACCCCAUGAAGCUGGAUUCGCUAGUAAUCGCGCAUCAGCAAUGGCGCGGUGAAUACGUUCCCGGGCCUUGUACACACCGCCCGU